RNAcentral lists this long non-coding RNA (1837 nucleotides) under Ricinus communis (castor bean). Its description in RNAcentral is "long non-coding RNA (RCOM_LNC000241)". The record is from RNAcentral. Lineage: Eukaryota; Viridiplantae; Streptophyta; Magnoliopsida; Malpighiales; Euphorbiaceae.
AUGGAUUGAGAGCAGGAAUCAAUUGUAUUGCAACUUACUGUGUUGAAAAUGAAUUCUUGCCCAAGAACCUUAAAGAACGUGUUGCACAAUUGGAAAAAGAGAUGGUAGAGGAAAAACUAGAGUUUGAACGCACUAAGACCAAACUUGGACCUUUAACAAGAUCAAGAAAGAAAUUGUCACAACAGCACGAGAAGAAGAAAGACGUCAGUUGCAGCUCCAUUGCUACUUCUGCUGCUGUCCCUAUCAAAAUCAUAUCCCCCUCUCCAUAUACUUCCCCUGAUACUCUACAUACAAACCUCUCCAUCCUCAGUCACUGCCUCAACUGCAGCAUGUAUGACUCACACCACCCUGUCAGCAACUGAUGCCUCUGUGAUUCCCAUCACAAUUACCUUUCCCUCCUCCCCACCUCCAACCACAGUCAGCGCUACUGCCCCAACUACCAAAGAAGUGUCCUCUUCAGUUGCUGCCUCUACUGCUGCUCCUAUCACAGUCACCACCCUCUCCCCUAAGAGGGCAACACAUCCAGCUACUGCCCCUAAGAUUAAAAAACCAAAGCAUGAAACGGAGAAACAAAAGCGAGUGCUCAACAAGCGACCUGGGAGAGUUGUGUCAUCAGGGAAGCCUCUGAACUCCUCGUUCAGUGUGGCUUAUCAUCCUCAGCCAGCAGGUCAGUCUAUGUAUUAUGGUGCACCGCGGAACUCAAAAGCCGGAUAUCAUAGUUUGGCUGAUCACAGCCCUUCAAACUCGCACUUCAACCCGUACGACAAUCGAGUAAAUUCUUAUUACCAUUUGACGCCUCCGAAUUCUGGUUAUUGUAGGCCUGUGCCCUCUUGGAAGCCUUGAGAGACUGCCUUCUGGUCACUGUGAUUUCUGAAUGAUGACUUGACAAACCGAUGAGAGCCUGGCAGAGCUGAAAGCAGGUUUUAAGGAGCUUGAAACCCGAGAACCAAAGGAAUUUGAUCCGAGUUGGAAAUUGAUUGUGAAAAAAUACAUGAGUUGAUCAAUAAUCUAAUAAUAGUAAGCAGUAGGUAAUAUGAUUAUGAAUCCUCCAGUAAGAAAGAUGCGAUGAGCCAACUAUUUCAGAGCAACCCAUGAUUCCAUUCAGCAAAUAUUCAUUAGCUGUCGGACAUCACAUAUGCUAAUGGCUACUAUCCGCUAUAAUCGACUGUAUUGCUCUUUACUUUCUUUCCUUUUGUUUUGGUGGUAAGCCAUCAUGAUUGGCUAUUGCAUAUAUGUCGCAUCUUUCUUGACUGUACCAUGUCAGGUAAAAGACACAAACAUCUUGGCACCUGUCACAAUAAGAUAUUUAUUUCAUAUUAUAUCUGCCCCAAAAAGCACUUCUCCAGUUUUCCCCUUCCCCAGUUGCAAGUGGACAAUGAUUGAUUUGAUGGUACUCUAUUCCUCCAAGAUAAUUCUUAUUUUAAGAGAUACUUUGAUUAUUGAAAAAUUCUUUGAAAUUAUAUCAGUUAAAGAGAAUAAAAAUUAUUAUUAUUAUUAUUAUUUUAUACUAGAAUAAAAGUUUAUUUUUAAAAUAAGGUAAAAUUAUGAGAAGAUGAAAAUCAAGUAAAAAAAGAGAAGACAUAGUAAUUAUAGGAUUGACUUACAAUUUGAUACCUGAUAUUACCCUUCUUUCAAAAUUAGAUUUAUAUUCAAAUCCAUUAAUUAAAGAGUGUUUUCUUUUUAAUAUUCUCACUCUUCUUCUAAAAAUUAUCAUUAACAAAAUAAAGUCCCCAUAAAAAUGCACUCACAGAAAAGUGGUUUCGCUUCCAGUACCAAUCACGCAACUCAUGUUCCCAGCCCCACUUUACAGCACCGUGAUAUCUCUACCACACCAAGA